GAGUUUGAUCAUGGCUCAGAUUGAACGCUGGCGGCAGGCCUAACACAUGCAAGUCGAGCGGAUGACGGGAGCUUGCUCCUUGAUUCAGCGGCGGACGGGCGAGUAAUGCCUAGGAAUCUGCCUGGUAGUGGGGGACAACGUUUCGAAAGGAACGCUAAUACCGCAUACGUCCUACGGGAGAAAGCAGGGGACCUUCGGGCCUUGCGCUAUCAGAUGAGCCUAGGUCGGAUUAGCUAGUUGGUGGGGUAAUGGCUCACCAAGGCGACGAUCCGUAACUGGUCUGAGAGGAUGAUCAGUCACACUGGAACUGAGACACGGUCCAGACUCCUACGGGAGGCAGCAGUGGGGAAUAUUGGACAAUGGGCGAAAGCCUGAUCCAGCCAUGCCGCGUGUGUGAAGAAGGUCUUCGGAUUGUAAAGCACUUUAAGUUGGGAGGAAGGGCAGUAAGUUAAUACCUUGCUGUUUUGACGUUACCGACAGAAUAAGCACCGGCUAACUCUGUGCCAGCA
RNAcentral lists this ribosomal RNA (509 nucleotides) under bacterium enrichment culture clone ALO1_GLFRUDD03GXJ0V. Its description in RNAcentral is "bacterial SSU rRNA". It matches the Rfam family "Bacterial small subunit ribosomal RNA", at positions 9 to 513 of the family's 1533-position model. The record is from RNAcentral.